Long non-coding RNA from Zonotrichia leucophrys gambelii, 529 nucleotides. RefSeq lists it as uncharacterized. The record is from RefSeq and is a predicted model, not a curated record. The transcript is spliced from 3 exons. Lineage: Eukaryota; Metazoa; Chordata; Aves; Passeriformes; Passerellidae.
UCCACACGGCGAGGCCUCGGCACCGCGGAGGAGGAAGCCCCAAGCCGGGGAGCGCGGAGAGCAGCAGCGCGGGGGAUGUGCCGGUCCGUGAGUGGGGCUGAGAUCGGCCUGGCGACUGUGCUCUGCCCGCUCUCAGCUGCUCCCGAGAGCCGCGGUCCGCACCGCUCCUUGCGCGCCUGGAUAGAGCGGGCUGCGAGACUUCAGAAUUAGGCAGAUCACUGAUGCAGUUGCUGGGAGCUGCCUGGAGGGAGACGAGGGCCAGGGAGUGCAGCUGUGGAGGUUCAGCUAUGGAGGUUCCACGGUGCAUCACUGAAACUUCCCCAGCUGAACAACAGAUACCCUCUGGAGGAUGAGGAAACACCUUGCUGUUAUACAGAUUCCUCCUCUGAGAUGCAUCACAACUUUUCAGAAUCACUGGCAGCUUUGUCUUAAGAGUGGCUGAAUGUUAGGAACUGUGCUUCUGCACUGCACCAUGAAAAGGUCCACACGUAUUUCCAUUCAAGGGUAAUAAUCUAUUUUAGAACAAGAA